Molecule: ribosomal RNA, 792 nt
Filed under: uncultured eukaryote
Lineage: Eukaryota
Description: bacterial SSU rRNA
Rfam family: Eukaryotic small subunit ribosomal RNA
Source: RNAcentral
AAACGAUGUCGACCGGCAAUCUGCUCUCGUUAAAUUAAUGACUGAGCAGACGGCCUGCUGGAAACAAGAGUAUUUGGAUUCCAGGGGGAGUAUGGUUGCAAAGCUGAAACUUAAAAGAAUUGACGGAAGGGCACCACCAGGAGUGGAGCCUGCGGCUUAAUUUGACUCAACACGGGAAAACUCACCCGGCCCGGACACUGGAAGGAUUGGCAGAUUGAGAGCUCUUUCUUGAUUCAGUGGGUGGUGGUGCAUGGCCGUUCUUAGUUGGUGGAGCGAUUUGUCUGGUUAAUUCCGAUAACGAACGAGACUCUAGCCUACUAAAUAGAUCGUCGGCUUACAAACGCUGAUGAGACUUCUUAGAGGGACAGGCGGCGAUUCAGCCGCACGAAACAGAGCAAUAACAGGUCUGUGAUGCCCUUAGAUGUCCGGGGCCGCACGCGCGCUACACUGAAGUGAUCAGCGUGCAUUUUCAGCCUACUCUGCCAAGAGUGGGAAACCCAAUGAACCUUCUUCGUGAUUGGGAUAGGAGAUUGUAAUUAUUCUCCUUGAACGAGGAAUUCCCAGUAAGCGCGAGUCAUAAGCUCGCGUUGAUUACGUCCCUGCCCUUUGUACACACCGCCCGUCGCUACUACCGAUUGAAUGUUUUAGUGAGGUCUUCAGACUGGCCGGCGCAGCUGCUCUCGUAGUAGCAGCGCUGUGUUUGGGAAGAUGCCCAAACUUGAACAUUUAGAGGAAGUAAAAGUCGUAACAAGGUUUUCGUAGGUGAACCUGCGGAAGGAUCAAGGGCGAAUU